GUGUCAGCGCCGCGGUCAUACGUAGGGCGCGAGCGUUGUCCGGAAUUAUUGGGCGUAAGGAGCUCGUAGGCGGCUUGUCGCGUCUGCUGUGAAAUCCCGGGGCUUAACCCCGGGCGUGCAGUGGAUACGGGCAGGCCGGAGUCAGGCAGGGGAGAACGGCAUUCCCGGUGUAGCGGUGAAAUGCGCAGAUAUCGGGAGGAACACCGGUGGCGAAGGCGGUUCUCUGGGCCUGUUCUGACGCUGAGGAGCGAAAGCGUGGGGAGCGAACAGGAUUAGAAACCCCGGUAGUCC
This 291-nucleotide ribosomal RNA is filed under the name uncultured Acidothermaceae bacterium. RNAcentral's name for it is "partial 16S ribosomal RNA". It matches the Rfam family "Bacterial small subunit ribosomal RNA", at positions 505 to 796 of the family's 1533-position model. The record is from RNAcentral. Lineage: Bacteria; Bacillati; Actinomycetota; Actinomycetes; Acidothermales; Acidothermaceae.